Molecule: unclassified non-coding RNA, 201 nt
Filed under: uncultured Ascomycota
Lineage: Eukaryota; Fungi; Ascomycota
Description: sequence contains ITS1
Source: RNAcentral
CAGUGUUUCGGUUGCGGUGCGCCCCGCCCUUGGGCGGUGGUGCGCCCUCCAAACCCCCACCCGUGAAUACUCGACCUUCUGUUGCUUCGGCGGGCCCGCCCCUGGGCCGCCGGGGGAUCUUCCCCUGGCCUGCGCCCGCCGAGGAAUCGUCUGAACUCGAUCUUGAAUGUGUGGCUGUCUGAGUGGGCUUGCGAAUCGUUA